Parasteatoda tepidariorum (common house spider) is the source of this 436-nucleotide long non-coding RNA. Lineage: Eukaryota; Metazoa; Arthropoda; Arachnida; Araneae; Theridiidae. The record is from RefSeq and is a predicted model, not a curated record.
UAUUAUUAUUGAUGCAGAGCAAGGAGUCCCAAAAUAGUAAGUGUGCCAAAAACAUCGAUAAAGUGAGCCAAAGGGUGAGUUUGGCGAAGAUCCCUCUUGCUGUAGGGGUUGCACCCAUUUAGGAAUCAGUCGAAGCGUUACCUAGCUGUUGGAAGGUGACUAGAUUAAGAUAUGACGCCCUGCACGAUGAACUUUGCUGUUGUCAUCUUGAAAAAUAUGUUCCUAGGACAGCACCAUUUUGUUGAGACCACAUGUUGUCCAAUAUACAUAUUGAAACGUGUGUAUUAGGCGGCCAGUGUGUUUAAUUCCCCUAAUUGAUCCAGUCUACAUGACUUUUUCUCUUUAACAGCUUCACAUUUGAUGAAAUUCUAACCAUAUUUUGAAUGCAAUUUGUGAGCCAAACUUUCAUUACUAAUAAAAUAUUGUUCGUCGAUGA